AGAUUGAACGCUGGCGGCAGGCCUAACACAUGCAAGUCGAGCGGCAGCACGGGUACUUGUACCUGGUGGCGAGCGGCGGACGGGUGAGUAAUGCCUAGGAAUCUGCCUGAUAGGUGGGGGAUAACGUUCGGAAACGGACGCUAAUACCGCAUACGUCCUACGGGAGAAAGGUGGGGGAUCUUCGGACCUCACGCUAUCAGAUGAGCCUAGGUCGGAUUAGCUAGGUUGG
Molecule: ribosomal RNA, 229 nt
Filed under: uncultured soil bacterium
Lineage: Bacteria
Description: partial 16S ribosomal RNA
Rfam family: Bacterial small subunit ribosomal RNA
Source: RNAcentral